Molecule: ribosomal RNA, 407 nt
Filed under: uncultured bacterium
Lineage: Bacteria
Description: partial 16S ribosomal RNA
Rfam family: Bacterial small subunit ribosomal RNA
Source: RNAcentral
AUUGAACGCUGGCGGCAGGCCUAACACAUGCAAGUCGAGCGGAGCGGCGGACGGGUGAGUAAUACCUAGGAAUCUGCCUGUUAGUGGUGGAUGACGUCCGGUAACGGACGCUAAUACCGCAUACUCUCAGAUUCGCCUAGGUCGGAUUAGCUAGUUGGUGUGGUAAUGGUAUACCAAGGCGACGAUCCGUAACUGGUCUGAGAGGAUGAGCAGUCACACUGGGACUGAGACACGGGCCAGACGCCUACGGGAGGCAGCAGUGGGGAAUAUUGGACAAGGGGCGAAAGCCUGAUCCAGCCAUGCCGCGUGUGUGAAGAAGGUCUUCGGAUUGUAAAGCACUUUAAGUUGGGAGGCGUUACCAACAGAAUAAGCACCGGCUAACUCUGUGCCAGCAGCCGCGGUAAUUC